This is a long non-coding RNA of Astyanax mexicanus (Mexican tetra), 360 nucleotides long. RefSeq lists it as uncharacterized. The record is from RefSeq and is a predicted model, not a curated record. The transcript has 2 exons. NCBI's taxonomy places the organism in Eukaryota, Metazoa, Chordata, Actinopteri, Characiformes, Acestrorhamphidae.
CACAACCCGGUCACGUGACCUGAAACAACUGAACAUGCUGCUAAAGGUGUUAGUCAGGCGUUUACCAAAUCUGCUGCGGGUCGGUGAGGGGAGUCCAGUGUCGUCCUGCUGGGAUGUCUCCAGGCAUUCGGUUCCACCCAGGAGAUCGGCACUUCACCUAGCGACAGAACGCUGCAGUCGUCUGAGCUGUCCAUCGCAGAAUCCACCUGCAAUUGACACAAAUGAUAAUUGUAUUCCAACCAUUUUUUUGUUUUAAAUGUACUCUAUAAAUAUACUUUACUUAGUUAGUUUACUAUAUAUUUAACAAUAUGUGUUAUAAAACAAUAAUAUAAAAAUAAUAAUAAUAAAUUACAAGACAAA